Molecule: ribosomal RNA, 254 nt
Filed under: uncultured bacterium
Lineage: Bacteria
Description: partial 16S ribosomal RNA
Rfam family: Bacterial small subunit ribosomal RNA
Source: RNAcentral
UACGAAGGGGGCUAGCGUUGCUCGGAAUCACUGGGCGUAAAGGGUGCGUAGGCGGGUCUUUUAAGUCAGGGGUGAAAUCCUGGAGCUCAACUCCAGAACUGCCUUUGAUACUGAGGAUCUUGAGUUCGGGAGAGGUGAGUGGAACUGCGAGUGUAGAGGUGAAAUUCGUAGAUAUUCGCAAGAACACCAGUGGCGAAGGCGGCUCACUAGCCCGAUACUGACGCUGAGGCACGAAAGCGUGGGGAGCAAACAGG